AAAAGUCUUUAGGAGUGCCUCAGGCAUUUCACCUUCCCUUCUUGUGGCUCCUGUCUCAUGGUUCAGCACCCAGCUGGGCAGGGAAGCUUUGGUGGGGUGGCUGUCCCGAGAUGGGCUGAAGCACAAAGCAGAAGUUCUCCCUGCAGGCUGUAAGCGACACUCAGCCCCAGCGGCAGCACAGGACUGAACCGACAGCUAACUCCACGCUUUAGGGACUCUGCUACCUCUGCUUCGUUUGCCAACAGGAGCUGAGGUCUCUUAGGGUUUCCUCUCCUGUAUUCCUCCUGAGCAGCAGGAAAACAAAACCAAUUUGGGGGCUUCCUAUGCCACAGCCUGCAGCGCAGCUCAGGCACCCUGCUUAUGGCCAGGGAGACCGCCUGGCUGCUGCCGCCGAGCCGCGGGGCUGGCCGGAGAGCCGCGGAGCGCAGGGCGAGGGAGAAGGGAAAUUACAUGCUUGGCUUUGCAGACAGAAUGAAUCUCCUGGCAGUGCCAGUGUGUCCUCUGGAGCGAAAGGUCUCACCGCCUCUGGUUUGAUCACAGCAGGACUCGCACACAUGCCUCGGCUUAACCCCUGCGUUAUCAGCCCUCUGCCUGCUUUCAGGGCUGGUGGUACUGCUAACCAGGGGGUCUGCUCUGACUUCAAACUACACAAAGCCCAAUCCAGAGGCAGAAGAUAACUCCCCAGGCACAAGUCCUGAAAGAAUGGUAUUUAAAAUCGGCCUGCUUUUCUGCCUCCCCCUGUUUACUUUAACGCACUGGUGUCAACCUCUAAACUGCACUUGAAUUAAUUCAAGGCUUUCUCACUUUGACAAUAGGUCAGUGUGAAGAUGAAAUCAAACACACACCUGGAGAGCAUUAGACAGUCAAGAAGGGUUUUUUGAAUGCAUCUGGCUCUCGGAAGAUGAUUCAGAUACAACGAUGGAGAUGGCUGAAAUAAAAACCCAGCCUGUUAC
Long non-coding RNA from Pogoniulus pusillus (Red-fronted tinkerbird), 953 nucleotides. RefSeq lists it as uncharacterized. Lineage: Eukaryota; Metazoa; Chordata; Aves; Piciformes; Lybiidae. The transcript is spliced from 2 exons. The record is from RefSeq and is a predicted model, not a curated record.